ACGCUACGGAUUUAAUUUUGAUUGAGCCUUGUCUAAUAGGAAAAUCCGUUGACUUUAGAAAUCGUGAGAGUUCAAGUCCCUCUAUCACCA
Molecule: transfer RNA, 90 nt
Filed under: Arceuthobium verticilliflorum
Lineage: Eukaryota; Viridiplantae; Streptophyta; Magnoliopsida; Santalales; Viscaceae
Description: tRNA-Leu
Source: RNAcentral